GAUGAACGCUGACAGACUGCUUAAACACAUACAAGUCAAACUUGAAUUUGGGUUUUAAAUUUAAGUUGGGUGGCGGACGGGUGAGUAACGCGUAAAAGAACUUGCCUCACAGCUAGGGACAACAUUUGGAAACGAAUGCUAAUACCUAAUAUUAUGAUAAUAGGGCAUCCUAUAAUUAUGAAAAGCUAUAAGCGCUGUGAGAGAGCUUGCGUCCCAUUAGCUAGUUGGAGAGGUAACGGCUCACCAAGGCGAUGAUGGGUAGCCGGCCUGAGAGGGUGAUCGGCCACAAGGGGACUGAGACACGGCCCUUACUCCUACGGGAGGCAGCAGUGGGGAAUAUUGGACAAUGGACCAAGAGUCUGAUCCAGCAAUUCUGUGUGCACGAUGAAGUUUUUCGGAAUGUAAAGUGCUUUCAGUUGGGAAGAAAGAAAUGACGGUACCAACAGAAGAAGUGACGGCUAAAUACGUGCCAGCAGCCGCGGUAAUACGUAUGUCACGAGCGUUAUCCGGAUUUAUUGGGCGUAAAGCGCGUCUAGGUGGUUAUAUAAGUCUGAUGUGAAAAUGCAGGGCUCAACUCUGUAUUGCGUUGGAAACUGUAUAACUAGAGUACGGAGAGGUAAGCGGAACUACAAGUGUAGAGGUGAAAUUCGUAGAUAUUUGUAGGAAUGCCGAUGGGGAAGCCAGCUUACUGGACAGAUACUGACGCUGAAGCGCGAAAGCGUGGGUAGCAAACAGG
RNAcentral lists this ribosomal RNA (736 nucleotides) under uncultured Fusobacterium sp. RNAcentral describes it as "bacterial SSU rRNA". It matches the Rfam family "Bacterial small subunit ribosomal RNA", at positions 28 to 776 of the family's 1533-position model. The record is from RNAcentral. Lineage: Bacteria; Fusobacteriati; Fusobacteriota; Fusobacteriia; Fusobacteriales; Fusobacteriaceae.